This is an unclassified non-coding RNA of Chelonoidis abingdonii (Abingdon island giant tortoise), 178 nucleotides long. Lineage: Eukaryota; Metazoa; Chordata; Testudines; Testudinidae. The record is from Ensembl.
UUGUCAGACUCACAGAAUGCAGCUUUUUAUUUAUCCACAGAACAGGUACACAAUAGGCAAUGCCAGGACAUGCUUCUGUUACACUAUCCUGCCAAUGUGCUUCAAUCUGGACCCGGAUCAACCACCUCUACAGGUGAGAUUAGUUCAUUAUCCAUUGGCCAUUCAAUCUUUGUCUGCU